UACGGAGGGUGCGAGCGUUGUCCGGAAUCAUUGGGCGUAAAGGGCGCGUAGGUGGCCCGGUCAGUCAGUGGUGAAAGCGCGGGGCUCAACUCCGCGUCGGCCAUUGAUACUGCGGGGCUGGAGCACUGUAGAGGCAGGCGGAAUUCCGGGUGUAGCGGUGGAAUGCGUAGAGAUCCGGAAGAACACCGGUGGCGAAGGUGGCCUGCUGGGCAGUUGCUGACACUGAGGCGCGACAGCGUGGGGAGCAAACAGG
RNAcentral lists this ribosomal RNA (253 nucleotides) under uncultured bacterium. Its description in RNAcentral is "partial 16S ribosomal RNA". It matches the Rfam family "Bacterial small subunit ribosomal RNA", at positions 524 to 776 of the family's 1533-position model. The record is from RNAcentral.